UACGGAGGAUCCGAGCGUUAUCCGGAUUUAUUGGGUUUAAAGGGUGCGCAGGCGGAAGAUUAAGUCGGUGGUGAAAUUUUGCAGCUCAACUGUAAAAGUGCCUUCGAAACUGGUUUCCUUGAGUGUAGAUGAAGUAGGCGGAAUUUGUGGUGUAGCGGUGAAAUGCAUAGAUAUCACGAGGAACUCCGAUUGCGCAGGCAGCUUACUAAACUACUACUGACGCUCAGGCACGAAGGCGUGGGGAUCAAACAGGAUUAGAUAUCCCGGUA
RNAcentral lists this ribosomal RNA (269 nucleotides) under uncultured prokaryote. Its description in RNAcentral is "partial 16S ribosomal RNA". It matches the Rfam family "Bacterial small subunit ribosomal RNA", at positions 524 to 792 of the family's 1533-position model. The record is from RNAcentral.